Homo sapiens (human) is the source of this 2255-nucleotide long non-coding RNA. Ensembl annotates it as WASP family homolog 2, pseudogene. Its record names the gene WASH2P. NCBI's taxonomy places the organism in Eukaryota, Metazoa, Chordata, Mammalia, Primates, Hominidae. The record is from Ensembl.
AGAUAGGCUGAGAGACGCAGGAAAGCGGGUCAAUGUGUAGGGCUGGAGGGCAGGGGCGGGCCCUGGGCCUGGGCUGGGGGUCCUGCCCCGGGGCGCACCCAGGGCGAGGGCUGCCCGGAGGAGCCGAGGCUGGCGGACAGCUUGGCCCUGAGCUUGAGGGGAAGGCAGCGAUGGGACAAAGGACGGAGGUCUAGGAAGAGGGUCUGCAGAGCAGAAAGCACGGGUAGGGGCGGCCUGACGCUCGGAAGACAACGGAUGGGAGCCGUGUGCACGUCGGGAGCUCGGAGUGAGCGCACCAUGACUCCUGUGAGGAUGCAGCACUCCCUGGCAGGUCAGACCUAUGCCGUGCCCCUCAUCCAGCCAGACCUGCGGUGAGAGGAGGCCGUCCAGCAGAUGGCAGAUGCCCUGCAGUACCUGCAGAAGGUCUCUGGAGACAUCUUCAGCAGGUAGAGCAGAGCCGGAGCCAGGUGCAGGCCAUUGGAGAGAAGGUCUCCUUGGCCCAGGCCAAGAUUGAGAAGAUCAAGGGCAGCAAGAAGGCCAUCAAGGUGUUCUCCAGUGCCAAGUACCCUGCUCCAGAGCGCCUGCAGGAAUAUGGCUCCAUCUUCACGGGCGCCCAGGACCCUGGCCUGCAGAGACGCCCCCGCCACAGGAUCCAGAGCAAGCACCGCCCCCUGGACGAGCGGGCCCUGCAGGAGAAGCUGAAGGACUUUCCUGUGUGCGUGAGCACCAAGCCGGAGCCCGAGGACGAUGCAGAAGAGGGACUUGGGGGUCUUCCCAGCAACAUCAGCUCUGUCAGCUCCUUGCUGCUCUUCAACACCACCUAGAACCUGUAUGGCCAGAAGGCAGGGCCGAGGGGUGUGGGCGGGAGGCCCGGCCUGGCUUAGUGGGGACCCAGGGCAUCAGACACAGGUACAGCACAUGGGCCAGGAGCCAGGGGGUGACUGGGGUGGCUCGGCUCGGGAGGCUUGGGACCCCAAGUGCACGCUGUGCCCCUGAUGAUGUGGGAGAGGAACAUGGGCUCAGGACAGCGGGUGUCAGCUUGCCUGACCCCCAUGUCACCUCUGUAGGUACAAGAAGUAUGUCUUCCUGGACCCCCUGGCUGGUGCUGUAACAAAGACCCAUGUGAUGCUGGGGGCAGAGACAGAGGAGAAGCUGUUUGAUGCCCCCUUGUCCAUCAGCAAGAGAGAGCAGCUGGAACAGCAGGUCCCUGAGAACUACUUCUAUGUGCCAGACCUGGGCCAGGUGCCUGAGAUUGAUGUUCCAUCCUACCUGCCUGACCUGCCCGGCAUUGCCAACGACCUCAUGUACAUUGCCGACCUGGGCCCCGGCAUUGCCCCCUCUGCCCCUGGCACCAUUCCAGAACUGCCCACCUUCCACACUGAGGUAGCCGAGCCUCUCAAGACCUACAAGAUGGGGUACUAACACCACCCCCACCGCCCCCACCACCACCCCCAGCUCCUGAGGUGCUGGCCAGUGCACCCCCACUCCCACCCUCAACCGCGGCCCCUGUAGGCCAAGGCGCCAGGCAGGACGACAGCAGCAGCAGCGCGUCUCCUUCAGUCCAGGGAGCUCCCAGGGAAGUGGUCGACCCCUCCGGUGGCCGGGCCACUCUGCUAGAGUCCAUCCGCCAAGCUGGGGGCAUCGGCAAGGCCAAGCUGCGCAGCAUGAAGGAGCGAAAGCUGGAGAAGAAGAAGCAGAAGGAGCAGGAGCAAGUGAGAGCCACGAGCCAAGGUGGGCACUUGAUGUCGGAUCUCUUCAACAAGCUGGUCAUGAGGCGCAAGGGCAUCUCUGGGAAAGGACCUGGGGCUGGUGAGGGGCCCGGAGGAGCCUUUGCCCGUGUGUCAGACUCCAUCCCUCCUCUGCCGCCACCGCAGCAGCCACAGGCAGAGGAGGACGAGGAUGACUGGGAAUCCUAGGGGGCUCCAUGACACCUUCCCCCCCAGACCCAGACUUGGGCCGUUGCUCUGACAUGGACACAGCCAGGACAAGCUGCUCAGACCUGCUUCCCUGGGAGGGGGUGACGGAACCAGCACUGUGUGGAGACCAGCUUCAAGGAGCGGAAGGCUGGCUUGAGGCCACACAGCUGGGGCGGGGACUUCUGUCUGCCUGUACUUCAUGGGGGGACGGCUCCACCCAGCCUGCGCCACUGUGUUCUUCUCUUAAGAGGCUUCCAGAGAAAACGGCACACCAAUCAAUAAAGAACUGAGCAGAAACCAACAGUGUGCUUUUAAUAAAGGACCUCUAGCUGUGCAGGA